CACUCCUGCGGGAGGCAGCAGUGGGGAAUAUUGGACAAUGGGCGCAAGCCUGAUCCAGCCAUGCCGCGUGAGUGAUGAAGGCCCUAGGGUUGUAAAGCUCUUUCACCGGUGAAGAUAAUGACGGUAACCGGAGAAGAAGCCCCGGCUAACUUCGUGCCAGCAGCCGCGGUAAUACGAAGGGGGCUUGCGUUGUUCGGAUUUACUGGGCGUAAAGCGCACGUAGGCGGACUAUUAAGUCAGGGGUGAAAUCCCGGGGCUCAACCCCGGAACUGCCUUUGAUACUGGUAGUCUUGAGUUCGAGAGAGGUGAGUGGAAUUCCGAGUGUAGAGGUGAAAUUCGUAGAUAUUCGGAGGAACACCAGUGGCGAAGGCGGCUCACUGGCUCGAUACUGACGCUGAGGUGCGAAAGCGUGGGGAGCAAACAGGAUUAGAUACCCCUGUAGUCCCAUGAU
RNAcentral lists this ribosomal RNA (451 nucleotides) under uncultured organism. Its description in RNAcentral is "partial 16S ribosomal RNA". It matches the Rfam family "Bacterial small subunit ribosomal RNA", at positions 334 to 801 of the family's 1533-position model. The record is from RNAcentral.